RNAcentral lists this ribosomal RNA (253 nucleotides) under uncultured bacterium. Its description in RNAcentral is "partial 16S ribosomal RNA". It matches the Rfam family "Bacterial small subunit ribosomal RNA", at positions 524 to 776 of the family's 1533-position model. The record is from RNAcentral.
UACGAAGGGGGCUAGCGUUGUUCGGAAUUACUGGGCGUAAAGCGCGCGUAGGCGGUGAUCUAUGUCAGGGGUGAAAUCCCGGGGCUCAACUCCGGAAUUGCCUUUGAAACGGGAUCGCUAGAGUCCGAGAGAGGAUGGCGGAAUUCCUAGUGUAGAGGUGAAAUUCGUAGAUAUUAGGAAGAACACCGGUGGCGAAGGCGGCCAUCUGGCUCGGUACUGACGCUCAGGCGCGAAAGCGUGGGGAGCAAACAGG